GACGUCGAAUGUCGACGUCAUAAACACGUAACUUGAUCGUGUUUAUGACGUCGAAUAUCGACGUCAUAAACACCUAAGGUGAUCGUGUUUAUGACGUCAAAUAUCGACGUC
Non-coding RNA from Paramuricea clavata, 111 nucleotides. The record is from the annotation of a GenBank genome assembly. NCBI's taxonomy places the organism in Eukaryota, Metazoa, Cnidaria, Anthozoa, Malacalcyonacea, Plexauridae.